This 315-nucleotide unclassified non-coding RNA is filed under the name Arachnia propionica. RNAcentral describes it as "Pseudopropionibacterium propionicum partial 16S-23S ribosomal RNA intergenic spacer". Lineage: Bacteria; Bacillati; Actinomycetota; Actinomycetes; Propionibacteriales; Propionibacteriaceae. The record is from RNAcentral.
CCGGAAGGUGCGGCUGGAUCACCUCCUUUCUAAGGAGCCGAAUGGUUUUUGUGGCUGGUUUGUUCCUGGAUGUUGUUUCUGGGGGCUGGUCAUGGUUUUUGGUUUCUGGGUGGAACAUUGGCUUUUACCAUGUUUUGUGGUGGCGCGUUGUUGGGUUUUGAGGGGUCGGUGGCCGUUUGGUGGCUUCGGUUUCUCUGUGGAGCCCCGGGCUCUUCCGGUUUUUGCCGGGGGGUUUUGGGGUGUGUGUUUUGAGAACUUUAUAGUGGACGCGAGCAUCUUUGUAGUUUUUGUUGUUGGUUUUUUGGCAAGCUACUU